GGAUUAGUGGCGAACGGGUGAGUAACACGUGAGUAACCUGCCCUUAACUCUGGGAUAAGCCUGGGAAACUGGGUCUAAUACCGGAUAUGACUCCUCAUCGCAUGGUGGGGGGUGGAAAGCUUUAUUGUGGUUUUGGAUGGACUCGCGGCCUAUCAGCUUGUUGGUGAGGUAAUGGCUCACCAAGGCGACGACGGGUAGCCGGCCUGAGAGGGUGACCGGCCACACUGGGACUGAGACACGGCCCAGACUCCUACGGGAGGCAGCAGUGGGGAAUAUUGCACAAUGGGCGAAAGCCUGAUGCAGCGACGCCGCGUGAGGGAUGACGGCCUUCGGGUUGUAAACCUCUUUCAGUAGGGAAGAA
This 361-nucleotide ribosomal RNA is filed under the name barley rhizosphere bacterium LJ77. RNAcentral describes it as "bacterial SSU rRNA". It matches the Rfam family "Bacterial small subunit ribosomal RNA", at positions 89 to 449 of the family's 1533-position model. The record is from RNAcentral.